RNAcentral lists this ribosomal RNA (466 nucleotides) under uncultured Comamonas sp. RNAcentral describes it as "bacterial SSU rRNA". It matches the Rfam family "Bacterial small subunit ribosomal RNA", at positions 921 to 1377 of the family's 1533-position model. The record is from RNAcentral. Lineage: Bacteria; Pseudomonadati; Pseudomonadota; Betaproteobacteria; Burkholderiales; Comamonadaceae.
ACGGACCGCACAGCGGUGGAUGAUGUUGGUUUAAUUCGAUGACAACCGACGAAAAACCCUUACCCACCUUUGACAUGUACGGAAUCCUCUAGAGAUAGAGGAGUGCUCGAAAGAGAGCCGUAACACAGGUGCUGCAUGGCUGUCGUCAGCUCGUGUCGUGAGAUGUUGGGUUAAGUCCCGCAACGAGCGCAACCCUUGUCAUUAGUUGCUACGAAAGGGCACUCUAAUGAGACUGCCGGUGACAAACCGGAGGAAGGUGGGGAUGACGUCAAGUCCUCAUGGCCCUUAUAGGUGGGGCUACACACGUCAUACAAUGGCUGGCACAAAGGGUUGCCAACCCGCGAGGGGGAGCCAAUCCCAUAAAGCCAGUCGUAGUCCGGAUCGCAGUCUGCAACUCGACUGCGUGAAGUCGGAAUCGCUAGUAAUCGUGGAUCAGCAUGUCACGGUGAAUACGUUCCCGGGUCUU